RNAcentral lists this ribosomal RNA (643 nucleotides) under uncultured bacterium. RNAcentral describes it as "bacterial SSU rRNA". It matches the Rfam family "Bacterial small subunit ribosomal RNA", at positions 56 to 694 of the family's 1533-position model. The record is from RNAcentral.
UGCAAGUCGAACGGCAGCACGGGGGUAACCCUGGUGGCGAGUGGCGAACGGGUGAGGAAUACAUCGGAACGUAUCUUUAAGUGGGGGAUAACGCAUCGAAAGGUGUGCUAAUACCGCAUAAUCUCUGAGGAGAAAAGCAGGGGAUCGCAAGACCUUGCGCUAUUGGAGCGGCCGAUGCCUGAUUAGCUUGUUGGUGAGGUAAAAGCUCACCAAGGCUUCGAUCAGUAGCUGGUCUGAGAGGACGACCAGCCACACUGGGACUGAGACACGGCCCAGACUCCUACGGGAGGCAGCAGUGGGGAAUUUUGGACAAUGGGGGAAACCCUGAUCCAGCCAUGCCGCGUGAGUGAAGAAGGCCUUCGGGUUGUAAAGCUCUUUCAGCCGGAACGAAACGGUUACGGUUAAUACCCGUGACUACUGACGGUACCGGAAGAAGAAGCACCGGCUAACUACGUGCCAGCAGCCGCGGUAAUACGUAGGGUGCGAGCGUUAAUCGGAAUUACUGGGCGUAAAGCGUGCGCAGGCGGUUUUGUAAGUCAGAUGUGAAAUCCCCGGGCUUAACCUGGGAACUGCGUUUGAAACUGCAAGGCUAGAGUGUGGCAGAGGGGGGUGGAAUUCCGCGUGUAGCAGUGAAAUGCGUAGA